Molecule: long non-coding RNA, 269 nt
Organism: Etheostoma cragini (Arkansas darter)
Lineage: Eukaryota; Metazoa; Chordata; Actinopteri; Perciformes; Percidae
Exons: 3
Source: RefSeq, a predicted model, not a curated record
CACUCCAGAGACUUAGGACAAGAUCUCGCGGGAGCAAAAGUCAUGGGAACAAGAGGGCGCUAAUGGCUGCUAAACAGUUGACACUGAAUCCCACAGAUGCUUCAGUACGUCAUCCCUCAACCCGGGUUUAGAGAUGAUGUGGGUUGGUGUGCUACACCAUGUAAAAAAUGAGCAUUAGUGGGCAACUAGCUUUUAUGAGCAUGAGCCAUUUGAAGUGGGCAGUGAUGAUAAGCCCUGGAUCAUCCCACAUAACUUUAAACAAACAAUGC